Molecule: unclassified non-coding RNA, 640 nt
Filed under: uncultured Bradyrhizobium sp.
Lineage: Bacteria; Pseudomonadati; Pseudomonadota; Alphaproteobacteria; Hyphomicrobiales; Nitrobacteraceae
Description: partial 16S-23S ribosomal RNA intergenic spacer
Rfam family: Bacterial large subunit ribosomal RNA (bases 521-640)
Source: RNAcentral
GGAGUUCAGUCUUCCCAGGCCCACCACUUUCAUCGAGUGAGCAUUCGUCUUCUGGUUACGGGGCCAUAGCUCAGCUGGGAGAGCGCGUGCUUUGCAAGCAUGAGGUCGUCGGUUCGAUCCCGUCUGGCUCCACCAGAUGGUUUGAUCACCGAGAUCUUGUACCGUCGUCCGCGAAACAUCACUUCGCAUCCUGCUAGUCUGGAUAGACAGCAAGAUGCGUGUUUUCUGACAUCGUAAAGAGGAGAUCGAUCCGAGUUGGGUCGUGCAGCGGAUUGUUGCGCGAAUCCUUCAUUAUCUCCGGAUCAUUUUCGGCGCUCGCUUUCAGCCGUGAGGUUGAAUGCGAGUUGUAAAAUGAUCCUUUUAGCGAAGCUUGACCGCCUCGCUAUCGGAACGAUCUUACGAAGCAAGCUGGUCUUUCUAGUCAAUGUCCGGCUGUGCGUAGCGUUCAUCGAGGGCGCGUGCCGUAAGGCAAUCGUACAGACAACAUUCUGCCGAGUGUGUGGACAUUGAUAAUGAGAGCAAUCAAGUGCCUUAAGGGUGUUCGGUGGAUGCCUUGGCGCUGAGAGGCGAUGAAGGACGUGCUACGCUGCGAUAAGCCGUGGGGAGCUGCGAAGAAGCUUUGAUCCGCGGAUUUCCGAAG